Molecule: long non-coding RNA, 874 nt
Organism: Chenopodium quinoa (quinoa)
Lineage: Eukaryota; Viridiplantae; Streptophyta; Magnoliopsida; Caryophyllales; Amaranthaceae
Exons: 2
Source: RefSeq, a predicted model, not a curated record
UUUGCCUAAAUAAUUCUACAAUUGAAUUAGUCUUAAAAAGGUAUGUUUCCAUAUCAAUUUAAUUCUGAAAAGUUUUUGGGUUGUUGACAAGGUGUUUCUAUGGCAAUGGUUUAUGGUUUGUUUGUUUCUUUUGUAAAAAAUAGGUUGCUAUAGUUUAGAUUGGGUAGUUUUUGGUUUUUUUGUUGGUGGCUAGUGUCUUACGGGAUUGGGGUUUUUUCACUAGGGGUUGGUUUUUAACGGGGUUGGGUCGGUUUAUGACGAGGUUGGGUCGGUUUAUUAUGAGGUCGGGAUGGUUUUCACGGGGGUGAGUGUAGUUUAUACGGGGGUUGGGGUGGUUUUCACGGGGGUGUGGGCGGUUUGUUAGAGGUUAAGGCUUAGGGUUGGUUUAUAGGGGUUUGUUAUUGAUGGUAUUUUCUUGGGUUUUUCUUUUUUUUUUUAAUGUUAAAUUAAGUAUAUUAUUUCCUUUGCAGUUUGCAGUUUAGGUCAAUUAAUUACUUUAAUAUUGAUGAUUUUUCUUGGUUUAUUUUGUAUAACAGAUGAUUUAGGUGCCCAAGAGUUGAUUUAUGUGGUGAAGAUUGCAUAUGGGAUAAUAUAUGAUUUUAUCCCCUUAAUUUUGUUAUUGAUGUUUAAAUCGUGUAAGGUUUUUAGAGGCCAGAUGACCAAUUCAAGAAACUUGCUUAGCUGAUAUAUGGAGGGCUAAAGAAAUUACCAAAGAGAUGGUUGGAUUCACUUGCCGUAUAAAAUUGGUGGGAAUGUUGUUAGUUUUGAUAACUUAUUGUAAAUUAUUAUUUCCAUUAGUUAUUAUUUACUUGUUCCAUAAAUUCUCUUAUACAUGUAAAUUAUUGUUCGUAUAUACUUGUAAAUGUUACUACUA